UGCUAAUACCGGAUGUGCCUUCGGGUGAAAGUUUUAAUGCCUGUAGAUGAACUUGCGUUCGAUUAGCUAGAUGGUGGGGUAACGGCCUACCAUGGCGACGAUCGAUAACUGGUCUGAGAGGAUGACCAGUCACACUGAGACUGAGACACGGCCCAGACUCCUACGGGAGGCAGCAGUGGGGAAUUUUCCGCAAUGGGCUGAAAGCCUGACGGAGCAAUACCGCGUGAGGGACGAAGGUCUGUGGAUUGUAAACCUCUUUUGUAGGGGAAGAUCAUGACGGUUACCAACGAAUAAGCAUCGGCUAACUCCGUGCCUGCAGCCGCG
This 324-nucleotide ribosomal RNA is filed under the name uncultured cyanobacterium. Its description in RNAcentral is "bacterial SSU rRNA". It matches the Rfam family "Bacterial small subunit ribosomal RNA", at positions 161 to 519 of the family's 1533-position model. Lineage: Bacteria; Bacillati; Cyanobacteriota. The record is from RNAcentral.